AAACUAACAAGGAUUCCCCUAGUAACUGCGAGUGAAGCGGGAAGAGCUCAAAUUUGAAAUCUGGCGGUUUCACCGUCCGAGUUGUAAUCUGGAGAAGCAUUUUCCGCGUUGGACCGUGUACAAGUCUCUUGGAAUAGAGUGUCAUAGAGGGUGAGAAUCCCGUCCAUGCCACGGACUACCAAUGCUUUGUGAUAUGCUCUCAAAGAGUCGAGUUGUUUGGGAAUGCAGCUCAAAAUGGGUGGUAAAUUCCAUCUAAAGCUAAAUAUUGGCGAGAGACCGAUAGCGAACAAGUACCGUGAGGGAAAGAUGAAAAGCACUUUGGAAAGAGAGUUAAACAGUACGUGAAAUUGUUGAAAGGGAAACGCUUGAAGUCAGUCGCGUUGGCCGGGAUUCAGCCAUGCUAUUUGCCUGGUGUACUUCCUGGUUUUACGGGUCAACAUCAAUUUUGGUUGGUGGAUAAAGGCCGAGGGAAGGUGGCAUCUUCGGAUGUGUUAUAGCCCUUGGUUGCAUACACUGACUGGGAUUGAGGUCUGCAGCACGCCUUUUGGCCGGGGUUCGCCCACGUAACGUGCUUAGGAUGUUGGCAUAAUGGGCUUUAAGCGACCCGUCU
This 610-nucleotide ribosomal RNA is filed under the name Xylodon sambuci. RNAcentral describes it as "partial 28S ribosomal RNA". It matches the Rfam family "Eukaryotic large subunit ribosomal RNA", at positions 62 to 654 of the family's 3401-position model. Lineage: Eukaryota; Fungi; Basidiomycota; Agaricomycetes; Hymenochaetales; Schizoporaceae. The record is from RNAcentral.